Transfer RNA from Camelus ferus (Wild Bactrian camel), 72 nucleotides. It matches the Rfam family "tRNA". From Rfam's summary of the family: Transfer RNA (tRNA) molecules are approximately 80 nucleotides in length. Their secondary structure includes four short double-helical elements and three loops (D, anti-codon, and T loops). The record is from Rfam. NCBI's taxonomy places the organism in Eukaryota, Metazoa, Chordata, Mammalia, Artiodactyla, Camelidae.
GAGGGCAUAGCUCGGUGGUAGAGCGCGUGCUUAGCAUUCACAGGGUCCUGGGUUCAAUCCCCUGUACUUCCA